GGGUGGGUAGCUCAGUGGUAGAGCAUCGGCUUCACAUGCCGAGAGUCACAGGUUCAAAUCCUGUUCCGCCUA
Molecule: transfer RNA, 72 nt
Filed under: Candidatus Coatesiibacteriota bacterium
Lineage: Bacteria; Candidatus Coatesiibacteriota
Description: Candidatus Coatesbacteria bacterium tRNA-Val
Rfam family: tRNA
About the family: Transfer RNA (tRNA) molecules are approximately 80 nucleotides in length. Their secondary structure includes four short double-helical elements and three loops (D, anti-codon, and T loops). Further hydrogen bonds mediate the characteristic L-shaped molecular structure. tRNAs have two regions of fundamental functional importance: the anti-codon, which is responsible for specific mRNA codon recognition, and the 3' end, to which the tRNAs corresponding amino acid is attached (by aminoacyl-tRNA synthetases). tRNAs cope with the degeneracy of the genetic code in two manners: having more than one tRNA (with a specific anti-codon) for a particular amino acid; and 'wobble' base-pairing, i.e. permitting non-standard base-pairing at the 3rd anti-codon position.
Source: RNAcentral